GGUUUGUUAAAGUGUUUAGUGCUUACGGGCCACCGUAGUAAUUUAACUUGGGGUGUUUAUCUCUAAUCUGCAGCCGCGGUGUCCUCGGUGAAAGUGUGGUACGGCUGUUUGUCUUUUGAUGUCACUAAAGCACACUGUUCUGCUGAUGGAGACAACCUCCGCUUCAUCUGGACUGCUGAUUUAAACACAAUCACUCAGCUGGAGGAUGCAAACAGCACCUUGCUGCUGGAUCAAAACCAUCAUGGAAACAUCACCUGCCAUGUAGAAAACCAUGUCAGCCGUGACCGUAACACCAUUGAGCUCCACCCAUGUCCCGGUUUCAUGGUGUUUGUGUCUGUGUGGCUCUGUGAAGUCAUCAUCCUUCUGUCGCUGUUAGUGGGAGCGUUUUAUAUCUACACCAGAAUCUACAGGAAACAGAAAAUAACUGAGAAUCAGGAAGCUCUGUAAACCUAGAUUAGGAACAGAAGAAGCAGUCCACGAUUGCUCUCCUCCAUGCCAGCAACCCGUCCACCCUGAACCAGCAGAAAUGUAUAACCAUCAAUAACAGAUGGGUAACAGAGAAAACAAA
This is a long non-coding RNA of Pangasianodon hypophthalmus (striped catfish), 568 nucleotides long. RefSeq lists it as uncharacterized. The record is from RefSeq and is a predicted model, not a curated record. The transcript is spliced from 3 exons. NCBI's taxonomy places the organism in Eukaryota, Metazoa, Chordata, Actinopteri, Siluriformes, Pangasiidae.